Molecule: ribosomal RNA, 406 nt
Filed under: uncultured bacterium
Lineage: Bacteria
Description: partial 16S ribosomal RNA
Rfam family: Bacterial small subunit ribosomal RNA
Source: RNAcentral
GAUGAACGCUAGCUACAGGCUUAACACCUGCAAGUCGAGGGACCGGCGCACGGGAGAGUAACACGUACCCAACCUGCCCUUUACUCGGGGAUAGCCUUUCGAAAGAAAGAUUAAUACCCGAUAUAAAGGAUGGGUCUGCGUUCCAGUAGGUUGUUGUUGUGUUAACGGCUCACAAAGCCUUCGAUGGAUAGGGGUUCGAGGAGGUAGGUACCGCACAUGGGACUAUACACACGAUCCAAACUCCUACGGUCGUCAGCAGUGAGGAAUAGUUGUCAAUGUGCGCUAGCCUGAACCAGCCAAUUAGCGUGAAGGAUGAAGGCUUAUGGGUCGUAAACUUCUUUUAUAUAAGAAUAUGUAUUAUAUGAAUAAGGAUCGGCUAACUCCGUGCCAGCAGCCGCGGUAAUUC